This 381-nucleotide unclassified non-coding RNA is filed under the name uncultured bacterium. Its description in RNAcentral is "contains 16S-23S intergenic spacer region". The record is from RNAcentral.
UCCGGUUUGUCACCGGCAGUCUCCCUAGAGUUCCCGGCCGAACCGCUGGCAACUAGGGACAAGGGUUGCGCUCGUUGCGGGACUUAACCCAACAUCUCACGACACGAGCUGACGACAGCCAUGCAGCGCCUGUGCACGCGUCCCGAAGGAGGGCCUGGCUUUCACCAGGCUUGCACGUGCAUGUCAAGUCCUGGUAAGGUUCUUCGCGUUGCGUCGAAUUAAGCCACAUGCUCCGCCGCUUGUGCGGGUCCCCGUCAAUUCCUUUGAGUUUUAGCCUUGCGGCCGUACUCCCCAGGCGGGGUGCUUAAUGCGUUAGCUUCGGCACGGAGAGGGUUGAAGACCUCCCCACACCUAGCACCCAACGUUUACGGCUGGGACUAC